AGCUUUGCGCAGUGGCAGUAUCGUAGCCAAUGAGGUUUAUCCGAGGCGCGAUUAUUGCUAAUUGAAAGAAUAUUGAUCCUCCUGUUGGCAGAUAGAAUAGGUGGUCUUAUUAUAGCUGCAGGUCCCUGAGACUUUUAUCUGGCAGGAGAAAUA
Molecule: small nuclear RNA, 153 nt
Filed under: Sciurus vulgaris (Eurasian red squirrel)
Lineage: Eukaryota; Metazoa; Chordata; Mammalia; Rodentia; Sciuridae
Description: U4 spliceosomal RNA (ENSSVLG00005012452.1)
Rfam family: U4 spliceosomal RNA (bases 1-116)
About the family: U4 small nuclear RNA (U4 snRNA) is a component of the major U2-dependent spliceosome. The structure of U4 snRNA from yeast and human has been reported.
Source: RNAcentral